This 463-nucleotide ribosomal RNA is filed under the name Calcarovula tokioi. RNAcentral's name for it is "partial 16S large subunit ribosomal RNA". It matches the Rfam family "Bacterial large subunit ribosomal RNA", at positions 1850 to 2577 of the family's 2925-position model. The record is from RNAcentral. Lineage: Eukaryota; Metazoa; Mollusca; Gastropoda; Littorinimorpha; Ovulidae.
GAGUCGGACCUGCCCGGUGAAAGAUUUUAACGGCCGCGGUAUCCUGACCGUGCGAAGGUAGCAUAAUAAUUUGCUCUAUAAUUGAGGGCUGGUAUGAAUGGUUUGACGUAAGCGAUACUGUCUCUAUAUUGAUUUUUUAGAAUUUGAUUUUUAGGUGAAGAAACCUAAAUGUUAUUAAAAGACAAGAAGACCCUAUUGAGCUUUAAAGAAUUUAGUAGAAUUUAGCUGAUUUAUUUAUAAGUUUUAUCUACUAUAUAUUUUGGUUGGGGCGACUAAGGAACAAAUAAAGCUUCUUGUAGGCUAAAAUUUUACGGAUAUUGAUCCAAAUUUUUUGAUUAAAGAAAUUAGUUACCAUAGGGAUAACAGCAUAAUUCUUUUUAAGAGUUCAUAUCGAAAAGAGAGUUUGUGACCUCGAUGUUGGACUAGAAUAUCCUAAAGAUGUAGCAGUCUUUAAAGGUUGGUC